UUUUGGGCCUUUAUGUUUCAACAUUUGACUAACUGGGUAUAAGGAAGCAUAUUCCAAUCAUCCAAGGACACUGGGUGUGACUUCACCAACAAAGCUCACAGCUGAUACAAGCAAACCAUGUAAACUUAAACCUGUUACUUCAUUGAAUGAGUGCUAAGCUUCAGUAUGAUGUAAGCUGCUCUAUAACAAUGUAAUGUCUGUGCUGUUGUCAUCCUAUUGCCCCCACUCUUAGGAUCUGAAAUAAUUUAUACAACAAUGGGUUAGAUUAAUUUUC
This is a long non-coding RNA of Vitis riparia (riverbank grape), 274 nucleotides long. RefSeq lists it as uncharacterized. The transcript has 2 exons. NCBI's taxonomy places the organism in Eukaryota, Viridiplantae, Streptophyta, Magnoliopsida, Vitales, Vitaceae. The record is from RefSeq and is a predicted model, not a curated record.